This is a long non-coding RNA of Lingula anatina, 1006 nucleotides long. The record is from RefSeq and is a predicted model, not a curated record. Lineage: Eukaryota; Metazoa; Brachiopoda; Lingulata; Lingulida; Lingulidae.
UCUGGUUAUUUUAAACUUCCUCAAUAUGCUUUCCUGCUAUAGAAAAUACAAAGAUAAAUAGCUGUAACCUUAUAGAUUUUAUUUCCUGCAGCUCAGAUCGUCACAUCAUAUACAUGUCGUGCAUGUAAAUGUUGCAUGUUAAAUUCAGAAAUCACUGUAACAGUUCCUUUGUACACAACGUCAUAGAAAUUGGACAUUCCGUAACAAUCUUGAAAACAUAAACAGUGUGAAUUAAGAUGUCAGUUAAUGUGGAUAUCGAAACUUGUUGGUGUAAAAUUUAAAAUGAAACCUCUGGUAUCUUGAAACUACCACAGUCAAAAACCUAUGGGUAUUAAAAAGGAAAGUUAUCUUAUUCUGUGAAGCAUCAGACAACCUUGCUAGAAUUAUACAACCAUGCUAACAGAAGACAGUUUUAUUGCUACCCCUUGUUGUUUCCAGUUGGCAUUCUUUAUCUUCCUGUUUUCACUACCUGGGAAAUGGUAAAACAAGGAUUGUGUGGAAAAAGAACUGACCAACAUUUCAACCCAGGCUAGUUAUUGCUUAAGAAUAAGAUAUAUUGAUUAAAGGAGUAGCUGUCCUCAAUGGUGUUACAUGACAAGACACAGAGGGGCAAAGAUUAUGUCAAAAAUAAUACCACUAGUUAUUUUAUAUGAUGAAAAAUUCAUGAACACAGAUGAAAAAUCCCUUCCAUUAACUUUUUUGUUAUUACAAUAAUAAGUGCUAUAUAAAUGUAUCAUUUGUCCAUCAACUUCUCCAAAAAAAUAAAAAUAAUAAAUAAAUGCAAUAGUAAUGACACAAUUAAAUUCUUGUGAUUCUUGUAUCAAGUAACAUUCCAUAUCAAAAUAAUGCGCAGAUCUUGCACCAAAUAUAGGUGAUUAAAAAUCAAUAAAAGCCAAAAAGCCAGAAAAAAAAUCAAUGAACACACUGGGACCUUUUUCAUUUUUUACCUGUGUAGGUAAAAAUCAUAACAUCCUUACAACAGUUUGAUCAAGUUGCUCCCCCCCCC